This 74-nucleotide transfer RNA is filed under the name Magnolia liliiflora. RNAcentral's name for it is "tRNA-Met". The record is from RNAcentral. Lineage: Eukaryota; Viridiplantae; Streptophyta; Magnoliopsida; Magnoliales; Magnoliaceae. RNAcentral also lists the same sequence under 33 other names.
UUGCGGAGACAGGAUUUGAACCCGUGACCUCAAGGUUAUGAGCCUUGCGAGCUACCAAACUGCUCUACCCCGCG